UCAGUCAUUGAAGUGCUCUGAU
Molecule: microRNA, 22 nt
Filed under: Panagrellus redivivus
Lineage: Eukaryota; Metazoa; Nematoda; Chromadorea; Rhabditida; Panagrolaimidae
Description: prd-miR-7927b-3p
Source: miRBase by way of RNAcentral